CUUUAACGAACUUAACCCAUUGGAGCCAUCGCCCACUGAACCUUCUUAUUUCCUCGGUCUCAUACCAUCUCAAUUUCAACCGUUCUCAGGUUAAAUUAGUUCACUCCAUUACAUCAUUCUUCAUUUCUUGACUCCUCAAUCCUAAUCACCAAUUUUCACAGAUCACCCAAACUUGGAUACAAAAUCUAAUUGCUCUCAGCUCAACUGUGUCAAUUUGAUUCGGAUAUGGCUUCUUCAAUGCUUUCUUUAGCUUCCGCUUCUCCUUCUGCUUCGCUUUCUAUGCAUGACACUCUCAAGGGAAAGGUGAGGCUUGGAAGUGGCAAUUUGACUGCGUGGUUUCACAAGGAGAAAUCCAAUCCCUUUAUAAACACUAAGUCUUCAGGCAGGAUAUCUAUGGCUGUUGCAGUCAAUGUUUCUCGUUUUGAGGGUAUAACAAUGGCCCCCCCUGAUCCAAUUCUUGGAGUUUCUGAAGCUUUUAAAGCAGACAAUGAUGAAAAGAAACUCAAUCUUGGAGUUGGGGCCUACCGAACUGAAGAGCUACAGCCUUAUGUUCUUAAUGUUGUUAAGAAGGCUGAGAAUCUUAUGCUCGAGAGGGGUGAAUAUAAAGAGUAUCUUCCCAUAGAAGGUUUGGCUGCAUUCAAUAAGGUGACUGCAGAGUUAUUACUUGGAGCAGACAACACAGUGAUAAAGCAACAAAGAGUUGCAACAGUCCAAGGUCUUUCAGGCACUGGUUCUCUUCGUUUAGCUGCGGCUCUCAUUGAGCGAUAUUUUCCAGGGGCAAAAGUCCUGAUAUCAUCUCCAACUUGGGGUAAUCACAAGAAUAUUUUCAAUGAUGCUAGAGUCCCUUGGUCUGAGUACAGAUACUAUGAUCCCAAAACAGUUGGGUUGGAUUUUGAGGGAAUGAUAGCAGACCUAAAGGCAGCCCCUGAAGGAUCAUUUAUUUUGCUUCAUGGCUGUGCUCACAACCCAACUGGUAUAGAUCCAACCCCUGAACAGUGGGAAAAAAUUGCCGAUGUCAUUCAAGAGAAGAACCACAUUCCAUUUUUUGAUGUUGCAUACCAGGGAUUUGCUAGUGGAAGCCUUGAUGCAGAUGCAGCAUCAGUGAGGUUGUUUGCUGCACGUGGAAUGGAGCUUCUGGUAGCUCAGUCAUACAGUAAAAACUUGGGUCUAUAUGCAGAAAGAAUUGGGGCAAUCAAUGUCAUCUGCUCAUCAGUAGAUGCCGCAGCAAGGGUUAAGAGCCAGCUGAAAAGGCUUGCACGACCAAUGUACUCAAAUCCUCCUGUACAUGGGGCUAGGAUUGUUGCCAAUGUUGUUGGGGAUCCAACUCUCUUCGAUGAAUGGAAAGCAGAGAUGGACAUGAUGGCUGGAAGGAUAAAAGGUGUUAGACAGAAAUUAUUUGAUAGUCUUUCUGCAAAAGAUAAGAGUGGGAAGGAUUGGUCUUUUAUAUUAAAGCAGAUUGGCAUGUUCUCCUUCACAGGAUUGAACAAAGCUCAGGUAAGUUUUAUCACAAAUUCCACACUAUAUGCUCAUCAAGGAGUCUUGAUCUCUUGUUUUCCAGUCCUUCAUCCUGGCUGUAGGGGUUUCUGUGAUAGUAAAUUUUGACUAUUUUCCCUGUGCCAUCUGAUGCAAUUUUUUUUGUCUUCUAAGACCCCAUACGAUUUUGUUGUGGUUUCAAAACUAUUGGAAAAGCUUCCUCUUCUUUCAUGCAAUAUUAUCACUAUGUUCAGUAAAAAUACAAAGGAAACCAACCAGUAGAAGUAAUAAGAAGAAAGAGGUGAGAGGAAAUAAAUGUUGGUCCCUUUGUUUGAGUUGAAUUUUUAAAAUUGUGUUGCUGGAAUCGGUGGGCCCAAAUGGCCAAUGGGAAAUAAUAUAACACUGCAAACCUCCAUGAGUUGUGAUUCCCCUUUACCAAGCAGAUGUCAAGGAUCUUUCCUUCACAAAAUCCUUUUCCUUUCCUCCCAAUUUUCUACCACAGUAUAGGUAGUAUACUUCCUCAAUCAUCAAUUCAUUAAUGAAUUGGUUAUAUCUAGGAUAACCUCUGAUUUCCAUAUUGUGUUUGCACAUCAACUUCCCUGAUUGUUUGGAGAUCAUAAGUUCUAAAACUGUGACAGUGUGACUGGUCUGACACAUCUAGAAUCAUUUCAAAUAUUUGUUUGUGAAACAGUUAAGAGUGUCUUCCUAUACACCUGAUUUUUUUGUAUUACUCUUUUUUUUUUCCUGAUCAGAGCGAGAAUAUGACCAAUAAGUGGCAUGUUUACAUGACAAAGGAUGGAAGGAUUUCCCUGGCUGGAUUGAAUUUGGCCAAAUGUGAAUACCUUGCAGAUGCAAUUGUUGAUUCAUAUCACAAUGUCAGUUGAAAUGAUAGAAGCAUGAGUUGCUCAUAUUAGAAGCAAACCUUGGAAAGUUUU
Molecule: unclassified non-coding RNA, 2408 nt
Filed under: Hevea brasiliensis (rubber tree)
Lineage: Eukaryota; Viridiplantae; Streptophyta; Magnoliopsida; Malpighiales; Euphorbiaceae
Source: RNAcentral